RNAcentral lists this ribosomal RNA (468 nucleotides) under uncultured bacterium. RNAcentral's name for it is "partial 16S ribosomal RNA". It matches the Rfam family "Bacterial small subunit ribosomal RNA", at positions 28 to 507 of the family's 1533-position model. The record is from RNAcentral.
GACGAACGCUGGCGGCGUGCUUAACACAUGCAAGUCGAACGGAAAGGCCCUGCUUUUGUGGGGUGCUCGAGUGGCGAACGGGUGAGUAACACGUGAGUAACCUGCCCUUGACUUUGGGAUAACUUCAGGAAACUGGGGCGAAUACCGGAUAGGAGCUCCUGCUGCAUGGUGGGGGUUGGAAAGUUUCGGCGGUUGGGGAUGGACGCGCGGCUUAUCAGCUUGUUGGUGGGGUAGUGGCUUACCAAGGCUUUGACGGGUAGCCGGCCUGAGAGGGUGACCGGCCACAUUGGGACUGAGAUACGGCCCAGACUCCUACGGGAGGCAGCAGUGGGGAAUAUUGCACAAUGGGCGGCAGCCUGAUGCAGCAACGCCGCGUGCGGGAUGACGGCCUUCGGGUUGUAAACCGCUUUCGCCUGUGACGAAGCGUGAGUGACGGUAAUGGGUAAAGAAGCACCGGCUAACUACGUG